This 1370-nucleotide ribosomal RNA is filed under the name uncultured bacterium. RNAcentral describes it as "bacterial SSU rRNA". It matches the Rfam family "Bacterial small subunit ribosomal RNA". The record is from RNAcentral.
AGAGUUUGAUCCUGGCUCAGGACGAACGCUGGCGGCGCGCCUAACACAUGCAAGUCGAACGAGCGAGAGAGAGCUUGCUUUCUCGAGCGAGUGGCGAACGGGUGAGUAACGCGUGAGGAACCUGCCUCAAAGAGGGGGACAACAGUUGGAAACGACUGCUAAUACCGCAUAAGCCCACGGCUCGGCAUCGAGCAGAGGGAAAAGGAGCAAUCCGCUUUGAGAUGGCCUCGCGUCCGAUUAGCUAGUUGGUGAGGUAACGGCCCACCAAGGCGACGAUCGGUAGCUGGACUGAGAGGUUGAACGGCCACAUUGGGACUGAGACACGGCCCAGACUCCUACGGGAGGCAGCAGUGGGGAAUAUUGCACAAUGGGGGAAACCCUGAUGCAGCGACGCCGCGUGGAGGAAGAAGGUCUUCGGAUUGUAAACUCCUGUUGUUGGGGAAGAUAAUGACGGUACCCAACAAGGAAGUGACGGCUAACUACGUGCCAGCAGCCGCGGUAAAACGUAGGUCACAAGCGUUGUCCGGAAUUACUGGGUGUAAAGGGAGCGCAGGCGGGAAGACAAGUUGGAAGUGAAAUCUAUGGGCUCAACCCAUAAACUGCUUUCAAAACUGUUUUUCUUGAGUAGUGCAGAGGUAGGCGGAAUUCCCGGUGUAGCGGUGGAAUGCGUAGAUAUCGGGAGGAACACCAGUGGCGAAGGCGGCCUACUGGGCACCAACUGACGCUGAGGCUCGAAAGUGUGGGUAGCAAACAGGAUUAGAUACCCUGGUAGUCCACACCGUAAACGAUGAUUACUAGGUGUUGGAGGAUUGACCCCUUCAGUGCCGCAGUUAACACAAUAAGUAAUCCACCUGGGGAGUACGACCGCAAGGUUGAAACUCAAAGGAAUUGACGGGGGCCCGCACAAGCAGUGGAGUAUGUGGUUUAAUUCGACGCAACGCGAAGAACCUUACCAAGUCUUGACAUCCCUUGACAGACAUAGAAAUAUGUAAUCUCUUCGGAGCAAGGAGACAGGUGGUGCAUGGUUGUCGUCAGCUCGUGUCGUGAGAUGUUGGGUUAAGUCCCGCAACGAGCGCAACCCUUAUGGUCAGUUACUACGCAAGAGGACUCUGGCCAGACUGCCGUUGACAAAACGGAGGAAGGUGGGGAUGACGUCAAAUCAUCAUGCCCUUUAUGACUUGGGCUACACACGUACUACAAUGGCGUUAAACAAAGAGAAGCAAGACCGCGAGGUGGAGCAAAACUCAGAAACAACGUCCCAGUUCGGACUGCAGGCUGCAACUCGCCUGCACGAAGUCGGAAUUGCUAGUAAUCGUGGAUCAGCAUGCCACGGUGAAUACGUUCCCGGGCCUUGUACACACCGCCCGUCA